Molecule: non-coding RNA, 27 nt
Filed under: Mus musculus (house mouse)
Lineage: Eukaryota; Metazoa; Chordata; Mammalia; Rodentia; Muridae
Source: RNAcentral
UGGCAGACUCCUCUACUGUAGAAGGUG